RNAcentral lists this ribosomal RNA (1557 nucleotides) under Dicrostonyx torquatus (Arctic lemming). RNAcentral's name for it is "16S ribosomal RNA". It matches the Rfam family "Bacterial large subunit ribosomal RNA". The record is from RNAcentral. Lineage: Eukaryota; Metazoa; Chordata; Mammalia; Rodentia; Cricetidae.
ACCAGUUCUAGCCCUAGCACAAAACCUGUUUAACCAUUUCUAACAAUAAAACAAAACAUUUGACCACAGAAAGUAUCGGAGAGAGAAAUCUAACUAGGAGCCAUAGAGAUAGUACCGCAAGGGAAAGAUGAAAGAUAAACUAAAAGUGAAAAAAAGCAAAGAUUAAACCUUGUACCUUUUGCAUAAUGAGUUAACUAGACAACCCUGCCUAAGAGAACUUAAGCCAGGCACCCCGAAACCAAACGAGCUACCUAAGAGCAGUCCAAAGAACUAACCCGUCUAUGUAGCAAAAUAGUGGGAUGACUCCUAGGUAGAGGUGAAAAGCCUACCGAGCUUGGUGAUAGCUGGUUACCCAAUAAAGAAUCUCAGUUCAACUUUAAGAUUACCAUAAGAGAUACAAAUCAAAAUGUAAUCUUAAAAGAUAGUCUAAAGAGGGACAGCUCUUUAGAAAAGGGAAUAACCCUUCAUAGUGAAUAAAUCUAUAGACUAUACAAACCAUUGUUGGCCUAAAAGCAGCCAUCAACAAAGAAAGCGUUAAAGCUCAACACAAUAAUAUCUUAAUCCCACAAAUUACAAUAAUUUCCUAUGAAGUCCAAUUGGGCCAAUCUAUGACUACAUAGAUGAGAUACUGUUAACAUGAGUAACAAGAACACUGUUCUCCAGGCACAAGCCUAUAACAAACCGGAUAACCAUUGUUAGUUAACAACCAAGGCGAUUACUCUCAAAUAAACAUCACCUACAAUCUAAAUGUUAGCCCGACACAGGAGUGCCCUAAGGAAAGAUUAAAAGAAGUAAAAGGAACUCGGCAAACAAGAAUCCCGCCUGUUUACCAAAAACAUCACCUCUAGCAUAAAAAGUAUUAGAGGCACCGCCUGCCCAGUGACAAAGUUAAACGGCCGCGGUAUCCUGACCGUGCAAAGGUAGCAUAAUCACUUGUUCCUUAAUUGGGGACUAGAAUGAAUGGCUUAACGAGGAUUCAACUGUCUCUUACUUCCAAUCAGUGAAAUUGACCUUCCCGUGAAGAGGCGGGAAUUUCACAAUAAGACGAGAAGACCCUAUGGAGCUUUAAUUUACUAACUUAACUUAUCAACUAAAACCCUAUUGGAACAAACAACAAGAUAUAAGUUAGCAAUUUCGGUUGGGGUGACCUCGGAGUAUAAACCAACCUCCGAAAGAUUUUAACCAAGACCCACAAGUCAAGGUGACUAAAAUCCAAUUGACCCAAUUCUUUGAUCAACGGACCAAGUUACCCUAGGGAUAACAGCGCAAUCCUAUUCAAGAGUUCAUAUCGACAAUUAGGGUUUACGACCUCGAUGUUGGAUCAGGACAUCCCAAUGGUGCAGCAGCUAUUAAUGGUUCGUUUGUUCAACGAUUAAAGUCCUACGUGAUCUGAGUUCAGACCGGAGCAAUCCAGGUCGGUUUCUAUCUAUUAACUAUUUCUCCCAGUACGAAAGGACAAGAGAAAUGGGGCCUCCUUAAACAAAGCGCCCCCUAACUAAUAUAUGAACUUAUCUCAAUUUAGUAAGUUAGUAUCAACACACCCUAGACAAGGGGUUU